Molecule: unclassified non-coding RNA, 268 nt
Filed under: Acacia holosericea
Lineage: Eukaryota; Viridiplantae; Streptophyta; Magnoliopsida; Fabales; Fabaceae
Description: partial external transcribed spacer
Source: RNAcentral
GCUGGGUGGUAUGGUUCCCCAGAAGCCAGUUCUUGUGCUGCCUACUCCUUCAGGGGAAGCGAGCCGCUUGAUGUCAGCCUCCAUCCUGCGCCCCCAACGGGCGCAGGAGGACAACAAAGCACCCCCCGCGUUCCACCGAACCUCCUCGGUCACGUGGUGCGUGGGGACGUGCGAUGCUCUCGGACCCAGCGAACGUCGUGGGCGAGGACUCACGUCCUAGUCUCGAUAGAAGCUCCCACAUAAUGCUUGAUGUAAGCUCGGCGUCGCG